Molecule: ribosomal RNA, 279 nt
Filed under: uncultured bacterium
Lineage: Bacteria
Description: partial 16S ribosomal RNA
Rfam family: Bacterial small subunit ribosomal RNA
Source: RNAcentral
UGCCAGCAGCCGCGGUAACACGGGGGGCGCAAGCGUUGUUCGGAAUUACUGGGCGUAAAGCGCAUGUAGGCGGCUAGUUAAGUCGGAUGUGAAAGCCUGGGGCUCAACCCCAGAAGUGCAUCCGAAACUAUCUAGCUUGAAUAUGGAAGAGGGUAGUGGAAUUCCUGGUGUAGUGGUGAAAUACGUAGAUAUCAGGAGGAACAUCGGUGGCGAAGGCGGCUGCCUGGUCCAAUAUUGACGCUGAGAUGCGAAAGCGUGGGGAGCAAACAGGAUUAGAUA